UAAAAGACAUACCACGUCUUCUUAUCAAUCGAUCAUGAAAUAAGACUAGCAUAAAGCAUGACACUAGGGGUGAGAAAGGGGCGGGUCUCGGGGGAGGGGAAAACCCAGGCGGAUAGUCUCGAUUUUGCCUAGGUUGUAAAAAAAUAAUUUUUUAAUAAAUUAUAUUAGAUAUAGGAUUAUUAAGAUUAAAAAUUUAUUAUAUUUUUAAGCUUAAGUCUUAUAUCCAUUUUAGAUUUACUUUUUGUUUUUACUUUUAAAAAUUAAGGUAAAAAGUUUUAAAUUUUAUGUUUACUUUUUUAAUUUUUUUAAUUAUGCGCUCCAGUCACCAUGUUCGGGGCAGGAACCAAGGCAGGGGAUCAGAGUACCUGACCCGUCUCGUUCCAUGCCCUGGCAAAACGAGACGGAUACUGAGGACGCCCUGCCCACGACCCGCCCCGUUCUCACUGAUAAUGGAGGGAUAUAAAAAUAAUAUUUUUAAAUUAUAUUUUAUAGAACAUGGAAUCACUCAUAGAUUCUCUUGCCUCCACACUCCCAGCAAGUAGGAAUUAGUGAAAGAAAGCAUAAACAUAUAGUGGAUAAAGGUCUAAAGUUAUUAGAAAAAUAUGAACUAUCAUUAAAUCUAUAGCUUUAUGAUAUUGUUGAAAUUUAUCUGAAUCAUCCUUUUAUUAUAUUAUUUUUUAAUCUUUUGGUGACACAUAUCCCCAUGCAUUUGAUGAGUUUUUCUACCUACCUAAUACCUAUCUUAUCUACCUACCUCUAUCCACUCUACUUUUUCUGAAAAUUGUACUUUAUGUACGCAAAUUCUUCCAUACUUUUUUCUUUCCUCUUUUCUACUGCCAUACCACGCAUUUCCCUUCUCACGUACUCGUUCUUUUUUCUUCCAUCUCACCGAUCGUCGGAGUAGCUGCAACCCAUUGCGUUCUUGAUUUUUUUUAUUCAACUUUCACCUCCCUGUCG
Molecule: long non-coding RNA, 957 nt
Filed under: Zostera marina
Lineage: Eukaryota; Viridiplantae; Streptophyta; Magnoliopsida; Alismatales; Zosteraceae
Description: long non-coding RNA (ZMAR_LNC002409)
Source: RNAcentral